RNAcentral lists this long non-coding RNA (503 nucleotides) under Spirodela polyrhiza (greater duckweed). RNAcentral describes it as "long non-coding RNA (SPOL_LNC000712)". The record is from RNAcentral. Lineage: Eukaryota; Viridiplantae; Streptophyta; Magnoliopsida; Alismatales; Araceae.
GAUUGGAACCGUUCUUUCCAUGUUUAAAGACUUGCAGAAGGAAAAAAAGAGACACCCUUUUGACUGGCAGAGGGUCAAUUUUACCGUGUCGGGGCCGAUCAGUGGGUCAACGUAAAGGGUGUCAGGGUAGGCGGGGUUCUUGACGCUGGUUGAGGCCCACAGCAGCCGCUGUUUCUUGGCGCCCUUCUUGACUAGCGCCUCCCACCGGGGGCCGGAGAACUUCUUCUGGUAGAGCUUGAAGGCCAGCGCCGCCUGGGCCACAGCUGCCUGCACCGAUCAGAGGUGAUUAGGAUCGGCGCCCACUUGGGAACGGCCCCGUGUUGGCUGGCAUUCAGACAAACCUUCCCACGCAGGUUGAGAGCUUCGGGAGUCCCGAUCUUCUCGAGCAGCUUGUCGAUGAGAGUAUCUACCCGGCUCACGAAGAAGGACGCCACACUCGUGACCUUGGACAGGUCACUCAAUCCGCUGGCCUCAAGGCCGUCGAUGUAGGCGUCAAUCACUGC